UAUUGAUCAACAUUAACCAUGCACCAUCAAAUACACUUCUCAUCUUUGCUACUUUCUUCACAGUAAUGAUAGGAGCAGAUCAUUUUAAAUCUUCAAAGACUGACAGCUGAGGGUUUUGAGAGACUCAUUCACUGGCUUCUUUCUAAAAAUUUUAUUCUCAUUUUUUCUAACUCAGUCUAUGAGACCUUAGGUGAAAACCUAAAUACGAAAACCUACAUUUGAGAAGAGCAUACAAAAAUCCCCCAUAAUACCCUCAACUAUCCUAAUUUUAAAAACUCAUCAAACAUACGGUUCUCAUACUUAGUGUCCAUCAGGAUCACUUGUGGGGGGCUUGUUAAAACACAGACAACUGAGCCCCACUUCCAGCAUUUCCAAUCCAGUAGAUCAGGUGAGAGCCCUACAAUUUGCAUCACUACCAAGUCCCCAGUGAGGCUGAUGUGGCUGGUCUGGGGACCACACUUUGAGAAUCACUGCACUAAACGGUUAUACUGAGUGCCUACUACAUCACAAGUACCGUCCCAGGUGCAUGGAGGUGGCAGUGAACAAGACAGAGAGAGUAAACAGACAUGGGACAACAAGCAAGUAACCAAAGACCCAGAAACCAAGCACACACCUGGGCUUGCUGUGAGGACUGACCCACAGGCAUCACCAUUCACCUUGUUUGCUCCUUUUAGCAACUUGGUGAAGAGCAUAGACAAUCUACAGAAUGGUAAUGCUAAACAGAGCACUGUCAGUCUCAGGCGUUGCUUCUCCAAAAGCAUGUUUCUGGGAUUACAACAUGCUCACCACUCUGCGGAGGGACUUACCCUGCAAAAGGUCACAGUAAAACCCAAGCUAUGGAAAAAAAAUAACCCCUGCAAGCAAGAAACAGUAAAGAAAAUAAGGAAAGAAACAAGCAUCUCAAAGAACCAGGCUAUUCCUUGUAGAGGUGGCAGAGCAUCUACCUGAUGAUGGAUCGGGCCCCUGGGAGGCAUCCAUCACUUCUAAUCCUGGGCUCUGCGAGAGGAAAUGAACCUCGCAUGCAUAAAUUAGUGAAAGGCAUGAUAGUGAUUCGUGUUCCUUUUGCAAUUUCCUCUUCUAUACAGCCGCUUAUGCAGAUUGAACAAGAUGUCACUGUUACAUUAGGAACAAAGUGAGACACAAAAAUUAGUAAAAAUGAAAACUUAUUCUGGAUUUGGUCAACCUCUAGCUAAAGACUUCCCUCAGGGAAAAGACUCCAUGAAAGAGAGGAACUGUUAUUUUAAUUCUGAUAUUUAAUGAUAUUACAAAAGUCAUCCUGAAGUUGUUAUGGGAAAGAGAAAAGAAAAAAAUAAUCGUAGUUGUAAAACCCAGGAAAGGAAAAGAGGAGAGAGAGAGAAUCUGACUAAGUAGGAUUCCUCCAGUUUAAGUUGGUAUCUGAGCAGAGACGGAGGUAGCAGAGGCCACAGCCUUGGCGGCAGGAAACCCAACCCCUUUGGGAAGAAAUUGUUCUUCUUACUGUUGUGAGAAGGUAUUGAGUGAGGCAACAGGCACUUUGGGUUACUAGGCAGAUCUCUAGCAAAGGUCAAGAAGAAAUUGAGCCCAACAUAGCGAGACAAAUACUAACAAGAAGUUUCACGUAAAGGUUUUAACUUGAUUCUCUCAACUAAUCCACAAUAUGGAUGUUAAAAAUAUUCUCAUUUUACAGAUAAAACUGAGAGACCCAAAGUGACUUUCUCAAGAUCAGGCCAUCAAUAGGCGGCGGGGCUUGGCCUUGGCACUCAGCGUUGUA
RNAcentral lists this long non-coding RNA (1750 nucleotides) under Equus caballus (horse). RNAcentral's name for it is "lncRNA (ENSECAG00000051706.1)". The record is from RNAcentral. Lineage: Eukaryota; Metazoa; Chordata; Mammalia; Perissodactyla; Equidae.